GGAUGAAGUGUUGGUAGUAUGCUUAACACAUGCAAGUCGAACGCAGCAAAAAAGUAAUCUGUAAAGAUUAUUUUGGAGUUGAGUGGCGAACGGGUGAGUAAUGCUUAUCUGCUUGCCGAUUAGUGGGGACCAUGGGAAACCAUGGGGAAUACCGCAUAUUCUGGUUUAGAUUUGGUUUCGACCAGGUUUAGGCCAGGAAAGGGAGUCGUAAGGCUCUCGCUAAUUGAGAGGGAUAAGUCGUAUCAGCUAGUUGGUGGGGUAAGGGCCUACCAAGGCAAUGACGCGUAGCCGGGCUGAGAGGCUGAUCGGCCACAGGGAAACUGAGACACGGUUCCCACUCCAUUAGGAGGCAGCAGUGAGGAAUAUUCCGCAAUGGACGAAAGUCUGACGGAGCGAUACUACGUGGAGGACGAAACUUGGCAACAAGCGUAAACUUCCUUUUGUUGUAGAAGAAGGAUUGAGUAAAAUCAAUCUUGACGGUAUACAUCGAAUAAGUCACGACUAACUAUGUGCCAGCAGUCGCGGUAAGACAUAGGUGGCGAACGUUAUCCGGAUUUAUUGGGCGUAAAGGAUGCGUAGAUGGUAAAAUAAGUUAUUGGUGAAUGCCAAGCUCAACUUAGCUGAAGCCAGUAAUACUGUUUUGCUAGAGAAUGGGAGAGGUUGAUGGAACUCUACGAGGAAGGGUGAAAUCUGUUGAUCCGUAGCGGACCACCAAAAAUGGCGAAGGCAAUUAACUAUUCCAUUUCUGACAUUGAGGCAUGAAAGCGUGGGGAGCAAACCGGAUUAGAUACCCGGGUAGUCCACGCCCCAAACGAUGAACAUUCGACAUUAGGCAUUCUGCUUAGUGUCCCAGUUAACACUUUAAAUGUUCCGCCUGGGUACUACGGCCGCAAGGCUAAAACUCAAAGGAAUUGACGGGAACCCGCACAAGCGGUGGAGCAUGUGGUUUAAUUCAAUACGAAGCGAAGAACCUUACCAAGGCUUGACAUGGGAGACAAGAACAGCAAUGUUAUUGCUUAAAUUAGAGAAAUCUAAUUGAAUCCCACAGGUGGUGCAUGGUCAUCGUCAGUUCGUGCCGUGAGGUGUAUGCUUAAGUGCUAUAACGAACGCAAUCCUUAUAUUUAGUUACUACCAUUCAGUUGAGGACUCUAAAUAGACUGCCAAGGCAACUUGGAGGAAGGUAAGGACGACGCUUGAUCCUCAUGCCCCUUAUGCCUUGGGCUACACACGUGCUACGAUGGUUAGGACAAAGGGUUGCCAACCCGCGAGGGGGAGCGAAUCCCAAAAAACUAACCUCUAUCGUUCGGAUUGGAGUCUGCAACUCGACUCCAUGAAGCCGGAAUCGCUAGUAA
This 1352-nucleotide ribosomal RNA is filed under the name uncultured bacterium. RNAcentral's name for it is "partial 16S ribosomal RNA". It matches the Rfam family "Bacterial small subunit ribosomal RNA", at positions 26 to 1341 of the family's 1533-position model. The record is from RNAcentral.